This 71-nucleotide transfer RNA is filed under the name Bos taurus (domestic cattle). It matches the Rfam family "tRNA". From Rfam's summary of the family: Transfer RNA (tRNA) molecules are approximately 80 nucleotides in length. Their secondary structure includes four short double-helical elements and three loops (D, anti-codon, and T loops). The record is from Rfam by way of RNAcentral. Lineage: Eukaryota; Metazoa; Chordata; Mammalia; Artiodactyla; Bovidae. RNAcentral also lists the same sequence under 3 other names.
UCUCUGGUGGUCUGGUGGUUAAGACUGCACUCCCGAUGCAGGGGGCCCGGGUUCGAUCCCUGGUCAGGGAA